Molecule: non-coding RNA, 20 nt
Filed under: Rattus norvegicus (Norway rat)
Lineage: Eukaryota; Metazoa; Chordata; Mammalia; Rodentia; Muridae
Source: RNAcentral
UGAUAUGGAAGCCAGGCAGU